Molecule: ribosomal RNA, 396 nt
Filed under: Cytophagales str. KAT4
Lineage: Bacteria; Pseudomonadati; Bacteroidota
Description: bacterial SSU rRNA
Rfam family: Bacterial small subunit ribosomal RNA
Source: RNAcentral
UGGAACCUACCUUGUACAGGGGAAUAGCCCAGGGAAANUUGGAUUAAUGCCCCNUGGUACCAUGACCCGGCAUCGGGAUAUGGUUAAAGCCUUCGGGCGGUAACAAGGAUGGCCAUGGGUCCCAUUAGUUUGUUGGUAAGGNAACGGCUUACCAAGANUACGAUGGGUAGGGGCCAUGAGAGGGGGAUCCCCCACANUGGUACUGAGACACGGACCAGACUCCUACGGGAGGCAGGCAGUGAGGAAUAUUGGACAAUGGAGGAGACUCUGAUCCAGCCAUGCCGCGUGCAGGAAGAAUGCCCUAUGGGUAGUAAACUGCUUUUAUACGGGAAGAAAAAGAGCUACGUGUAGCUUACUGACGGUACCGUAAGAAUAAGGACCGGCUAACUCCGUGCC